AAGUCGUAACAAGGUUUCCGUAGGUGAACCUGCGGAAGGGUCAUUACCUAGAGUUGUAGGCUUUGCCUGCUAUCUCUUGCCCAUGUCUUUUGAGUACCUUCGUUUCCUCGGCGGGUUCGCCCGCCGAUUGGGACAAUUUAAACCCAUUUGGCAGUUGCAGUCAGCGUCUGAAAAACUAAUAGUUCAA
This 187-nucleotide unclassified non-coding RNA is filed under the name plant metagenome. RNAcentral describes it as "partial contains small subunit ribosomal RNA and internal transcribed spacer 1". The stretch from base 1 to 46 matches the Rfam family "Eukaryotic small subunit ribosomal RNA", at positions 1786 to 1831 of the family's 1831-position model. The record is from RNAcentral.